AUGUCUAUGUGGCUCAUGAAUAAAACCUUCAUUGAGAGGCUAGAUAAACACAGACGCAGGUUCUUUUGGCAAGGUUGCAACAAAAAAAGGAGAUACUAUCUUGUUAAGUGGAGCAAGAUAUGUAGAUCCAAAGACAAAGGGGGGUUAGGUAUAGAAGAUCUUAGAAAGCAAAAUAUUAGCCUCAUGGUUAAAUGGUGGUGGAAGUUAGAGACACAAAACGGGCUAUGGCAGGAUAUAGUCCGGGCCAGGUAUCUUCGCAACACCUCUGUUGCUGAAGUUUCUCCCAAAUUCUCCAACUCGCCCUGUUGGAAAGCCUUGCUCAAGAUUAAAAACAUAUAUAUGAUGGGCAAAAAGAUUGAAACUGGUGCUGGGAACUUGAUUAGACUGUGGAAAGAUCCAAUAAAUGGGCUGAUCCCAUUUCAGGAUCAAUAG
RNAcentral lists this ribosomal RNA (432 nucleotides) under Triticum aestivum (bread wheat). RNAcentral's name for it is "partial small subunit ribosomal RNA". Lineage: Eukaryota; Viridiplantae; Streptophyta; Magnoliopsida; Poales; Poaceae. The record is from RNAcentral.